This 966-nucleotide ribosomal RNA is filed under the name Rheinheimera sp. RNAcentral describes it as "bacterial SSU rRNA". It matches the Rfam family "Bacterial small subunit ribosomal RNA", at positions 54 to 1028 of the family's 1533-position model. The record is from RNAcentral. Lineage: Bacteria; Pseudomonadati; Pseudomonadota; Gammaproteobacteria; Chromatiales; Chromatiaceae.
CAUGCAGUCGAGCGGGGUUUUCGGACCUAGCGGCGGACGGGUGAGUAAUGCGUAGGAAGCUGCCCGAUAGAGGGGGAUACCAGUUGGAAACGACUGUUAAUACCGCAUAAUGUCUACGGACCAAAGUGUGGGACCUUCGGGCCACAUGCUAUCGGAUGCGCCUACGUGGGAUUAGCUAGUUGGUGAGGUAAUGGCUCACCAAGGCGACGAUCUCUAGCUGGUUUGAGAGGAUGAUCAGCCACACUGGAACUGAGACACGGUCCAGACUCCUACGGGAGGCAGCAGUGGGGAAUAUUGGACAAUGGGCGCAAGCCUGAUCCAGCCAUGCCGCGUGUGUGAAGAAGGCCUUCGGGUUGUAAAGCACUUUCAGCGAGGAGGAAGGGUGGUGUGUUAAUAGCACAUCAUUUUGACGUUACUCGCAGAAGAAGCACCGGCUAACUCUGUGCCAGCAGCCGCGGUAAUACAGAGGGUGCAAGCGUUAAUCGGAAUUACUGGGCGUAAAGCGCACGUAGGCGGUUUUUUAAGUCAGAUGUGAAAGCCCCGGGCUCAACCUGGGAAUUGCAUUUGAAACUGGGGAACUAGAGUGUGUGAGAGGGGGGUAGAAUUCCAAGUGUAGCGGUGAAAUGCGUAGAGAUUUGGAGGAAUACCAGUGGCGAAGGCGGCCCCCUGGCACAACACUGACGCUCAGGUGCGAAAGCGUGGGGAGCAAACAGGAUUAGAUACCCUGGUAGUCCACGCCGUAAACGAUGUCUACUAGCUGUUCGUGUCCUUGUGAUGUGAGUAGCGCAGCUAACGCACUAAGUAGACCGCCUGGGGAGUACGGUCGCAAGAUUAAAACUCAAAUGAAUUGACGGGGGCCCGCACAAGCGGUGGAGCAUGUGGUUUAAUUCGACGCAACGCGAAGAACCUUACCUACUCUUGACAUCUACGGAAGACUGCAGAGAUGCGGUUGUGCCUUCGGGAACC